UCCCUGAUGGCUCAGACGGUAAAGUGUCUAUCUGCAAUGUGGGAGACCCGGGUUCGAUCCCUGGGUUGGGAG
This is a transfer RNA of Ovis aries (sheep), 72 nucleotides long. It matches the Rfam family "tRNA". Rfam says of the family: Transfer RNA (tRNA) molecules are approximately 80 nucleotides in length. Their secondary structure includes four short double-helical elements and three loops (D, anti-codon, and T loops). Further hydrogen bonds mediate the characteristic L-shaped molecular structure. tRNAs have two regions of fundamental functional importance: the anti-codon, which is responsible for specific mRNA codon recognition, and the 3' end, to which the tRNAs corresponding amino acid is attached (by aminoacyl-tRNA synthetases). tRNAs cope with the degeneracy of the genetic code in two manners: having more than one tRNA (with a specific anti-codon) for a particular amino acid; and 'wobble' base-pairing, i.e. permitting non-standard base-pairing at the 3rd anti-codon position. The record is from Rfam. Lineage: Eukaryota; Metazoa; Chordata; Mammalia; Artiodactyla; Bovidae.